Molecule: ribosomal RNA, 112 nt
Filed under: uncultured eukaryote
Lineage: Eukaryota
Description: partial small subunit ribosomal RNA
Rfam family: Eukaryotic small subunit ribosomal RNA
Source: RNAcentral
UCGCUACUACCGAUUGAACAUUUUAGUGAGGUGUUCGGACUGGUGCUUAGAAGCUGGCAACAGCCUCUUUGCAUUGGGAAGUUCCCCAAACUUGGAUGUUUAGAGGAAGUAA